RNAcentral lists this non-coding RNA (69 nucleotides) under unclassified sequences. RNAcentral describes it as "Transposase-2 RNA". It matches the Rfam family "Transposase-2 RNA". The record is from Rfam by way of RNAcentral.
GAAGUGCGAACCAAGACGCGGCGACAACCGCGUAAGACUUGGAGCGGGCGACCGUAAGGGUGCCCUGCA